AGUAAGGAAUAUUGGUCAAUGGGGGCAACCCUGAACCAGCCAUGCCGCGUGCAGGAAGACGGCCCUACGGGUUGUAAACUGCUUUUGUACGGGAAUAACCCUCCAUACGUGUAUGGAGCUGAAUGUACCGUAAGAAUAAGGAUCGGCUAACUCCGUGCCAGCAGCCGCGGUAAUACGGAGGAUCCGAGCGUUAUCCGGAAUUAUUGGGUUUAAAGGGUGCGUAGGCGGCGUGCUAAGUCAGGGGUGAAAGACGGUGGCUCAACCAUCGCAGUGCCUUUGAUACUGGCAUGCUUGAAUGUACUUGAGGUAGGCGGAAUGUGGCAAGUAGCGGUGAAAUGCAUAGAUAUGCCACAGAACACCGAUUGCGAAGGCAGCUUACCAAGGUAUGAUUGACGCUGAGGCACGAAAGCGUGGGGAUCGAACAGGAUUAGAUACCCUGGUAGUCCACGCCCUAAACGAUGAACACUCGAUGUCGGCGAUAGACAGUCGGCGUCCAAGCGAAAGCGUUAAGUG
Molecule: ribosomal RNA, 513 nt
Filed under: Olivibacter ginsengisoli
Lineage: Bacteria; Pseudomonadati; Bacteroidota; Sphingobacteriia; Sphingobacteriales; Sphingobacteriaceae
Description: bacterial SSU rRNA
Rfam family: Bacterial small subunit ribosomal RNA
Source: RNAcentral